This 497-nucleotide ribosomal RNA is filed under the name uncultured bacterium. RNAcentral's name for it is "partial 16S ribosomal RNA". It matches the Rfam family "Bacterial small subunit ribosomal RNA", at positions 28 to 507 of the family's 1533-position model. The record is from RNAcentral.
GAUGAACGCUGGCGGCGUGCCUAAUACAUGCAAGUCGAACGAACGGACGAGAAGCUUGCUUCUCUGAUGUUAGCGGCGGACGGGUGUGUAACACGUGUAUAACCUACCUAUAAGACUGGGAUAACUUCGGGAAACCGGAGCUAAUACCGGAUGAUAUUUUGAUCCGCAUGGUUCAAAAGUGAAAGACGGUCUUGCUGUCACUUCUAGAUGGAUCCGGGCUGGAUUAGCUAGUUGGUAAGGUAACGGCUUACCAAGGCAACGAUGCAUAGCCGACCUGAGAGGGUGGUCGGCCACCCUGGAACUGAGACACGGUCCAGACUCCUACGGGAGGCAGCAGUAGGGAAUCUUCCGCAAUGGGCGAAAGCAUGACGGAGCAACGCCGCGUGAGUGAUGAAGGUCUUCGGAUCGUAAAACUCUGUUAUUAGGGAAGAACAUAUGUGUAAGUAACUGUGCACAUAUUGACGGUACCUAAUCAGAAAGCCACGGCUAACUACGUG